CGAAAUUGCCGCCGCGCUUGUGCCAAGGAGAGCGACGAUUUUAUUCGAUUUUAUUCAAAUUUACGGCGCGACGAUGGCUAUAUAUCUACCCAUUAUAUCUACCUAUCCAUGACCGUUGUCGGGAAGAGAAAAUAUACGUAGUACGUGCGCCUGUGCGACCGCAGUUUAUAAAUAGAGCUCUUAUCCUGAAACGGCAGCCUUGUCAGACCCCGUAUCAAGCAAUAAUCAUGAUAUACUUCGCAUCAGCUUGGACUGAACUAUUUUAUAGUAUUUAUUCCAUAAAAAAUAUGAGCAUUUUGCUAUGCAAUAACUGCUACGAUAUUCGUAAGAAGACCUGAGUCGUUUUGAUUUCUGAGAAGUAAAGAUGAAAAACGGAAGCUGCCCUGCUUCGCUCCACUUUGAAAUUUAUAUAAUAGGGCGACUUAAGGGCAAAUAAAGGAAGAAAUUAAAAAUGAUUUCUACCCUCCACGGUACAUCUGGGUCUUUUGAGGUGCAACCCAAAUUUUUUCCUUAAAUAUCUCCGAAAUGCAAGAAGGGCUCGACCUGGCUCCACUCCCUGAAAAAAGUUAUUGGUAGUGGGGACUCAAGAGCCAAGAGACGACGAAGUCCGGCAGUUUGCUGGUAAAUAGUAGAGAGUGCAAAUCGUGUGCCCUGAGAGACCCGGGAGUUUCGCGGCCUUAGUGUUCUGCAACAGUAUGGCAGAAAGGAGCGCAAAAGAAGUGCGUUAUUAUUUACGUGAACGUGAGCCUCAAAAUUUUCACGAGGCUUCUCAGAAUGAAAAGGAUGGAGAAGAAGUGGAAAAACAUUUUUUCGACACUCAGGAUGCCAACGAAGAUUAAACUAUAUUUUUCUGAAAGGAUUGGAGUAUGCAGUAGCAGUAGAGACCCUGGGGAGUAUCCAUGAAUUUUUCAGAUUUUUAAAAAGCCAUAAAGAAAACCAGGACAGGACAUAAAAGACCGAGCGGUUCCGCAGAAGCAGUCAAAAAAAUGGGCUCCGUGGAGGGUUAAUUAUGGUCUGUGGUGGGGUAUUUUUGACACUUCACUCCAAUAUAACACCAACCUAAAUUAAUACAACAAAAAUUCAGCAG
Long non-coding RNA from Neodiprion virginianus, 1087 nucleotides. RefSeq lists it as uncharacterized. The record is from RefSeq and is a predicted model, not a curated record. Lineage: Eukaryota; Metazoa; Arthropoda; Insecta; Hymenoptera; Diprionidae. The transcript has 5 exons.